AUUUAUAUAGUUUAAUAAAACAUUACACUUUCAUUGUAAAAACAGUAAAUUAAUUACUUAUAAAUA
This 66-nucleotide transfer RNA is filed under the name Rhomboptera ligata. RNAcentral describes it as "tRNA-Glu". It matches the Rfam family "tRNA". From Rfam's summary of the family: Transfer RNA (tRNA) molecules are approximately 80 nucleotides in length. Lineage: Eukaryota; Metazoa; Arthropoda; Insecta; Orthoptera; Tettigoniidae. The record is from RNAcentral.